UACGGAGGGUGCAAGCGUUGUUCGGAAUCACUGGGCGUAAAGCGAACGCAGGCGGAUUUUUAAGUAGGAAGUGAAAGGUUGGAGCUCAACUCCAACACUGCUCCCUAUACUGGGAAUCUUGAGUAGCGGAGAGGAUGAGGGAACGACACGUGUAGCGGUGAGAUGCGUUGAUAUGUGUCGGAACACCCAUGGCGAAAGCACUCAUCUGGACGCACACUGACGCUCAUGUUCGAAAGCCAAGGUAGCAAACAGG
RNAcentral lists this ribosomal RNA (253 nucleotides) under uncultured bacterium. RNAcentral's name for it is "partial 16S ribosomal RNA". It matches the Rfam family "Bacterial small subunit ribosomal RNA", at positions 524 to 776 of the family's 1533-position model. The record is from RNAcentral.